This 1382-nucleotide ribosomal RNA is filed under the name uncultured marine bacterium. RNAcentral's name for it is "bacterial SSU rRNA". It matches the Rfam family "Bacterial small subunit ribosomal RNA". The record is from RNAcentral.
GAGUUUGAUCCUGGCUCAGGACGAACGCUGGCGGUGCGCCUUAUGCAUGCAAGUUGAGCGAAGCUUUUUGGUAGUUUACUACUAGAAAUGACUGAGCGGCGAACGGGUGAGUAACGCGUGAGCAAUCUACCUUAGUUACUGGGAUAGCCCGAGGAAACUCGGAUUAAUACCGGAUAUUCUUAUUUUUUCACAUGAAGUUUUAAGGAAAGGUCAGCCGAACUAAGAUGAGCUCGCGUUCUAUCAGCUAGUUGGUGGGGUAAAAGCCUACCAAGGCUACGACGGAUAGCUGGUCUGAGAGGACGAUCAGCCACACUGGGACUGAGACACGGCCCAGACUCCUACGGGAGGCUGCAGCAGGGAAUAUUGUGCAAUGAGCGAAAGCUUGACACAGCGACACCGCGUGUGGGAUGACGGUUCUAGGAUUGUAAACCACUUUCAGGAGGGAAGAAAAUGACGGUACCUCCACAAGAAGACCCGGCCAACUAUGUGCCAGCAGCCGCGGUAAUACAUAGGGGUCAAGCGUUGUCCGGAUUUGUUGGGCGUAAAGAGCUCGUAGGCGGUUCAACAAGUCGGUCGUAAAAGUUUAGGGCUCUACCCUAAAAUGUCGAUCGAUACUGUUGUGACUAGGAUACGGUAGAGGUGAAUGGAAUUCCGAGUGUAGCGGUGAAAUGCGUAGAUAUUCGGAGGAACACCAAUUGCGAAGGCAGUUCACUGGACCGUGAUCGACGCUGAGGAGCGAAAGCUAGGGGAGCAAACAGGAUUAGAUACCCUGGUAGUCCUAGCUGUAAACGAUGGAUACUAGAUGUAGGAACUGGAUUGACUGUUUCUGUAUCGUAGCUAACGCGUUAAGUAUCCCGCCUGGGGAGUACGGUCGCAAGACUAAAACUCAAAGGAAUUGACGGGACCCCGCACAAGCGGCGGAGCAUGCGGCUUAAUUCGAUGAUACCCGUAGAACCUUACCUGGACUUGACAUAUAGGGAAAAACUGGAGAAAUCCAGUGUGCGUAAGCGCCCUAUACAGGUGGUGCAUGGCUGUCGUCAGCUCGUGUCGUGAGAUGUUGGGUUAAGUCCCGCAACGAGCACAACCCCUGUCCUAUGUUGCCAGCAAGUAAUGUUGGGGACUCAUAGGAGACUGCCGGUGAUAAACCGGAGGAAGGUGGGGACGACGUCAAGUCAUCAUGCCCCUUAUGUCCAGGGCUGCACGCAUGCUACAAUGGCAAGUACAACGAGUCGCAAUACCGCGAGGUGGAGCAAAUCUCUUAAAGCUUGUCUCAGUUCGGAUAGGAGUCUGCAACUCGACUCCUUGAAGUUGGAGUCGCUAGUAAUCGCAAAUCAGCAAAGUUGCGGUGAAUACGUUCUCGGGGUUUGUACACACCGCCCGUC